UAUUCCCCACUGCUGCCUCCCGUAGGAGUCUGGGCCGUGUCUCAGUCCCAAUGUGGCCGUUCUACCUCUCAGUACGGCUACCGAUCGUCGCUUUGGUGGGCCGUUACCUCACCAACUGGCUAAUCGGACGCGAGCCCAUCUUCAAACAAUAAAUCUUUGAUAGCUUCUCCAUGCGGAAAUACUAUCUUAUGGGGUAUUAGUGGAAGUUUCCCUCCAUUAUUCCCCGCUUGAAGGUAGGUUGCUCACGUGUUACUCACCCGUCCGCCACUAAGAUAAAGAAGCAAGCUCCUUUAUCUCCGUUCGACUUGCAUGUGUUAAGCGUGCCGCCAGCGUUCAUCCUGAGCCAA
This 347-nucleotide ribosomal RNA is filed under the name uncultured rumen bacterium. RNAcentral describes it as "partial 16S ribosomal RNA". The record is from RNAcentral.